RNA transcript from Quercus lobata, 3327 nucleotides. It is a transcript of the gene named pentatricopeptide repeat-containing protein At5g04780, mitochondrial-like, with no coding region annotated. Lineage: Eukaryota; Viridiplantae; Streptophyta; Magnoliopsida; Fagales; Fagaceae. The record is from RefSeq and is a predicted model, not a curated record. The transcript is spliced from 3 exons.
GAUCAACGUCUUCAUUCUCUCCUACACAAAUGCCCUAGCCGUGUACUGUACAUCCAGUUCCCAGAGUGAGUGUUCCUGUUCUACGCGAUGCUCUCCAGCCCAAGAUUAUGUUGGAAGCAAAUCAACAAUGACUUGGGUUGGGAACUUAGUUAAAUCAUGAAUUAUAUCACUUUUCUCUUUAUUUCUUGAAGCUGUACUCAAUGAUCAAAUGGACCAUGAAACUUUGGUGCCUCAUUUCCCUCCAAAAACCUCUUCUCCAGCCACUUUACCUACCAACCCAUUUUCUCCUUUCUGCUAAACUUAUCCAAACCUACGCUAAAUUUAGCGGAGACCCACAAACCACAACAGCUAUUUUAAGCUCUUUCCAUGCAAAAAUCUUCACACCCCCCACCUCUAUAUCUUACUCUAAGCUCCUCUCACAAUGCACUGCUUCCAAGUCUGUGACUUCAGGUAUGGAAGUCCAUGCUCACAUGAUCAGAUUUGGAUUAUCUGAGGACCCCAGUUUUCGGAAUCAUUUGAUUAGUCUGUACUCAAAGUGUCGGUGUUUCGGGUAUGCACGGAAGCUGGUUGAGGAAAGUUCUGAACCGGAUUUGGUUUCUUGGUCUGCUUUGAUAUCUGGGUAUGCACAAAAUGGGCUUGGUGAGGAAGCCCUUUUGGCCUUUCAUGAGAUGCAUUUGUUGGGUGUUAAGUGCAAUCAGUUUACGUUUCCUAGUGUUCUUAAGGCGUGCUCGAUGACAAAGGAUUUGGAGCUGGGGAAGCAGGUUCAUGGCAUUGCAGUUGUGACAGGGUUUGAGUCCGAUGUGUUUGUUGCGAAUACUUUGGUUGUUAUGUAUGCAAAAUGUGGGGAGUUUGGGAGUUCGAGGAGACUGUUUGAUACAAUUCCUGAGCGGAAUGUUGUUUCGUGGAAUGCGUUGUUUUCUUGUUAUGUGCAGGGUGAUUUCUGUGGAGAAGCAGUGGAUUUGUUUCAGGAAAUGAUUUUGAAUGGAAUUAGACCUAAUGAGUUUAGUUUGUCCAGUAUACUGAAUGCAUGCUCAGGUUUGGGGGAUGAUAGUCAAGGAAAGAAAACCCAUGGGUAUUUGAUAAAGCUUGGGUAUGAUUCUGAUCCAUUCUCAGCAAAUGCACUUGUUGAUAUGUAUGCAAAAGUAGGAGAUAUUGAAGAUGCAAUUGCUGUUUUUGAGGAAAUAGCAAGACCUGACAUCGUUUCCUGGAAUGCUGUUAUUGCUGGCUGUGUUCUUCAUGAGUACCAUGGUUGGGCUUUAAACUUGUUUGCGCAAAUGAAAAGGUCAGAAAUAUGUCCAAAUAUGUUUACCUUAUCUAGUGCUCUUAAAGCUUGUGCUGGCUUGGGGCUCAAGGCAUUGGGUAGACAGUUGCACUCUAGAUUGAUAACAAUGGAUAUAGAAUCAGAUUCGUUUGUGGGUGUAGGACUGAUAGAUAUGUACUCAAAGUGUGAUAUGAUGGGUGAAGCGAGGAUGGUUUUUUAUUUGAUGCCAAAAAAGGACUUGAUUGCAUGGAAUGCUGUUAUCUCUGGACAUUCAUACAAUGGAGAAGACAUGGAGGCUGUAUCCCUUUUCACUGAGAUGUUCAAGGAGGGAAUUGGAUUCAACCAGACUACAUUAUCCACAGUCCUAAAAUCUACAGCUAGUUUGCAGUAUAUCAAUGUUUGUAAACAAGUUCAUGCACUUUCUGUAAAAUCAGGUUUUCAUUCUGACAAUUACGUUGUAAACAGCAUUCUUGAUACAUACGGAAAAUGUAGCCAUGCUGAAAAUGCUGCAAGAAUUUUUGAAGAAUGCCCAAUUGGGGAUCUGGUGGCUUUCACAUCCAUGAUCACAGCUUAUGCUCAAUAUGGUCAAGGAGAGGAAGCACUAAAGCUCUAUUUGCAAAUGCAAGAUAGGGGAAUCAAGCCGGAUCCAUUUGUUUGCAGUUCCCUUCUGAAUGCCUGUGCAAAUUUAUCAGCAUAUGAACAAGGAAAACAGAUACAUGUCCAUGUUCUGAAGUUCGGAUUCAUGUUUGAUGUCUUUGCCGGGAAUUCCCUAGUCAACAUGUAUGCAAAAUGUGGAAGCAUCGAUGAUGCAGACUGUGCUUUCUCUGAGAUACCUGAGAGAGGAAUAGUUUCUUGGUCUGCAAUGAUUGGGGGACUUGCACAACAUGGGCAUGGGAAACAGGCCCUCCAACUGUUUAAUCAGAUGCUUCAUGAUGGUGUCCCCCCCAAUCACAUAACUUUAGUUAGUGUCCUUUGUGCAUGCAAUCAUGCGGGUCUGGUAACUGAAGCCAGACAUUAUUUCAAUUCAAUGGAAGAGUUGUUUGGUAUUGAACCAAUGCAAGAGCAUUAUGCUUGUAUGAUUGAUCUCCUUGCCCGUGCUGGAAAAUUAAAUGAAGCAAUGGAACUAAUGAACAUGAUGCCAUUUCAAGCUAAUGGUUCAGUUUGGGGUGCACUUCUUGGAGCAGCAAGAAUCCAUAAAAAUGUUCAUCUGGGCCAACAUGCUGCUAAGAUGCUUCUAACUCUUGAACCAGAGAAAUCUGGUACCCAUAUUCUUCUUGCAAACAUUUAUGCAUCAGCUGGCAUGUGGGAAAAUGUUGCAAAGGUAAGAAGGCUUAUGAAAGAUAGCAAUGUGAAGAAGGAACCUGGAAUGAGUUGGAUUGAGGUCAAAGACAAGGUAUACACCUUUAUUGUGGGAGAUAGAAGCCAUUAUAGAAGCAAGGAAAUAUAUGCCAAGCUUGAUGAGCUGGCUGACCUUAUGAAUAAAGCUGGCUAUGUUCCCAUGGUAGAGAUUGACCUCCAUGAUCUAGAACAUAGUGAAAAGGAGCAGCUUUUAUUCCACCAUAGUGAAAGGCUUGCAGUGGCUUUUGGUUUGAUUGCUACCCCACCAGGAACUCCAAUUAGGGUGAAGAAGAAUCUUCGAAUCUGUGUGGAUUGCCAUGCCGCAUUCACUUUCAUCUGUAAAAUUGCCUCAAGGGAGAUUAUCGUGAGAGAUGUCAAUAGAUUCCACCAUUUUAAAGAUGGUUUGUGUUCUUGUGGAGACUAUUGGUGAUUUUUUGUGGGGGAGAAGUGUUACCUUUCUUUCCAACCAAGUGACUCAUCUUUUGGGGGCUCUAAAACAAAUGCAAAUGAUGCCAAUGAGCUCUAGCUUAAAAUUCAAAUGGUGCUUCCUACUUAGGCUUUGUUUGGUUGGGAGAUGGAAAAUUGGAGGGAUAGAAAAUGGUGGGGGAUGGAAAGUGGAAGGAUAGAAGAGUUAAAUAAGGACCCCAAGAUUUUCCCUAUGAAUAUUGCUUGUUCUAUGUGACUUUUGUUCCUCUUCGGUGGAUAUACUAUCAGUUCAAGAAAUGGCA